RNAcentral lists this long non-coding RNA (926 nucleotides) under Homo sapiens (human). The record is from RNAcentral. Lineage: Eukaryota; Metazoa; Chordata; Mammalia; Primates; Hominidae.
GCUUCAGCCCAGCGGCGGGCCUUGGCCCUUGGCUGCCUACUCCUACCGCCCCAGCCCCGGGCGGCCCUGGGCCUGCUGCGGGCGCGGCGCUGCCCGACCAGAGCUUCCUGUGGAACGUCUUCCAGAGGGUCGAUAAAGACAGGAGUGGAGUGAUAUCAGACACCGAGCUUCAGCAAGCUCUCUCCAACGAUGGAGGCCCAUUGAGGCUUCUCUGUCCUCCACGGGGAACAGCAUUGGCCUAAACCUGCAGACACCAUUGCAAAGGGAAUUCAGGCAAACCGGCUGGUGAAGAAUGAUUCCAGCGUGGGGACAGAGGCUGACAUUUCUUGCGCACGUGGACUCCCUUUAAUCCAGUGACUGUCAGGUCGAUCAUAUACUACACUGAAGGCUGGUUACGCUCUUAUGUGCAAUAGAACCUCAAACACAUCGUAACACACCUUUGGAGAAUCCUUACAAGAACACCAAGUUAACAGUUAUCUCUGACCACACUACCUCAGCAAAAAACCAGGAAGAAAAAAUAUUCUUCAACCCUUUUCAGGGACAGAAAGCAUCAUUUCAAAAGUCCAAGAAGGGAAGCAAAACUUCUGACCUGAGACAUCGAAGCAGAUAAAAAGCCGCUACACAAAAUGUAUCGCUACAACUAGAGGGCAGUCUUGCCUUUCUUCCAUUCAAUUAUUCAGUUUCUCAUGUUCCUAAGUGCCAGCCCAGAACCAUGGAAUGUGAAGAAACACAAAACUCACUCCUCUGCAUCAGUGAAUUGAUUGUGUGGUGGGGAUGUAAGUCUGCAUGUGACUGACAGUUCCCCAAAGUGGUGCCAAGUCAAUCUAAACUAGAGAGAAUUUCUGGCCAGGCCAAGCAGAGAUUUCAUGGAUGAAGUCUCCCAAAGACUGAUUUCCUAAACAUUAAACAUCACUGGUUUUCCAAAA